RNAcentral lists this ribosomal RNA (168 nucleotides) under uncultured bacterium. RNAcentral describes it as "partial 16S ribosomal RNA". It matches the Rfam family "Bacterial small subunit ribosomal RNA", at positions 1335 to 1500 of the family's 1533-position model. The record is from RNAcentral.
CUAGUAAUCGUAGGUCAGCAUACUACGGUGAAUACGUUCCCGGGCCUUGUACACACCGCCCGUCAAACCAUGAGAGUUGGCAACACCCGAAGUCGGUAGUCUAACCGCAAGGAGGACGCCGCCGAAGGGUGGGGGUUGAUGAUUAGGGUUAAGUCGUAACAAGGUAAC